GAGCGGCAGCGCGGGGCAACCUGGCGGCGAGCGGCGAACGGGUGAGUAAUACAUCGGAACGUGCCCAGACGUGGGGGAUAACUACUCGAAAGAGUGGCUAAUACCGCAUACGAUCUACGGAUGAAAGCGGGGGAUCGCAAGACCUCGCGCGUCUGGAGCGGCUGAUGGCAGAUUAGGUAGUUGGUGGGAUAAAAGCCUACCAAGCCAACGAUCUGUAGCUGGUCUGAGAGGAUGAUCAGCCACACUGGGACUGAGACACGGCCCAGACUCCUACGGGAGGCAGCAGUGGGGAAUUUUGGACAAUGGGCGAAAGCCUGAUCCAGCCAUUCCGCGUGCAGGAUGAAGGCCCUCGGGUUGUAAACUGCUUUUGUACAGAACGAAAAAGCUCUGGCUAAUACCUGGAGUCCAUGACGGUACUGUAAGAAUAAGCACCGGCUAACUACGUGCCAGCAGCCGCGGUAAUACGUAGGGUGCAAGCGUUAAUCGGAAUUACUGGGCGUAAAGCGUGCGCAGGCGGUUUUGUAAGACAGAGGUGAAAUCCCCGGGCUCAACCUGGGAACUGCCUUUGUGACUGCAAGGCUGGAGUGCGGCAGAGGGGGAUGGAAUUUCUGCGUGUAGCA
This 620-nucleotide ribosomal RNA is filed under the name uncultured bacterium. Its description in RNAcentral is "bacterial SSU rRNA". It matches the Rfam family "Bacterial small subunit ribosomal RNA", at positions 64 to 680 of the family's 1533-position model. The record is from RNAcentral.